AUUAGACACACUGUUACUGUGAAAUGUAUUACCGUAGCGUAAGACUUGCACAACAUUCAUAAUGAGUAUGUUGACGGUUUAGGUUUCUUUGGGUGAAUAACUGAGACCACGUCCAGUAAAUUUACGUCCAGGCACUGUCGAUUGAACACCAGGCUGAAAAGGAUCAUUAAGUUUGCUCAUACGUCCAGGCUGAAAAGGAUCACUAAGUUUGCUCAUACAUCCAGGCACUGUCGAUUGAACACCAGGCUGAAAAGGAUCAUUAAGUUUGCUCAUACGUCCAGGCUGAAAAGGAUCAUUAAGUUUGCUCAUACGUCC
Long non-coding RNA from Clupea harengus (Atlantic herring), 315 nucleotides. NCBI's taxonomy places the organism in Eukaryota, Metazoa, Chordata, Actinopteri, Clupeiformes, Clupeidae. The record is from Ensembl.